AAAAUUAAUUAAAAAAAAAUCUAUGGGGUAUUUUGAGCUGAAACUUCACAGACACAUUCAGGGGACACCUUAGACUUAUAUUACAUCUUGUAAAAACUGUUUCUAGGGCACCUUUAAACUCCUCAUUUAUCAUUUCUGAAGCACAAGCACAGAAAGCUGGCUGUCAGAAAGCACGUCUCGGUUAACUGCACCCCUUCAUCUCUCUCUCUCUCUCGCCCUCCUCAUUACACUCGUGUGUUCGUGACUGGCCUGGUGGGUGUGUGUACGUGCUUGUCUGUGAAAUUAUGAAUGAGUGUGUGUGUGAGAGAGAGAAAGGGAGGGAUGGAGCGACUGCAUCGUGAAACGAGAAGGAUUCAUUUACUAGCUUCUACGCUUCACUGACAGACAGGAGGAGGCAGCUGAUCGGAGUGUGUUUGAGGAGAGCAUCUACACAGUUAAAGCAUGGAUCAGAAGUCCACUUCACCCCAGAGACACGCAGUGAAAAGCAGGUCGAAGUCUACAGAUGAAGUCCAGCAAGCUAAAAAGGCCUUCCACAUCCCCCAGAAAUCACUACCUGGUGGGUCAGAACUGGAAAAGGUGAAGGAGGGACCAGAAGAAAAUGUGACUCCAGCAUCAUCCACAGAAGAGCUGAAAUGAUGCUGCCGUUAAUCUGUUUCUUUCUCUCUCUCACCCUCACACACUCUUUCUCACACACACACACACACACACGAUUGUUUUUUAUAAACAAUGUUGGUAUGGUACAGUUACAGCAUUAACUCUUCCUUCUGUUGGAUCAGUUUUCAUCAUCCUGCAGCACAUACAGUCUGUUCGCGUCUGUCCGCGCUGCGUCUCUGUACUCUGACCUGCUGUUUAUAUAAACUCUAUCAUUUCACUAUGAA
Megalobrama amblycephala (Wuchang bream) is the source of this 878-nucleotide long non-coding RNA. RefSeq lists it as uncharacterized. The record is from RefSeq and is a predicted model, not a curated record. The transcript has 6 exons. Lineage: Eukaryota; Metazoa; Chordata; Actinopteri; Cypriniformes; Xenocyprididae.